AGUUAUUCCAGCUUGUGUUUUUCUAGCCUCCUUGUAAUAUUCAGGUGAUACAGUCCCAGGUUAAGCACAGCUGGCCAAUUGAUAUACUUCAAAGGAAUCGGCACAAGACAUUUGGACUGGCACUGACUAAAUAAAUUGAAGAAGACAUUAACAAUACUUAUGGAAUCAAGGAUAUGCCUGUCAGAGGUUUCUGCUUGUCCAGACCUGCACACUUCCCAUCUCAUCCAGAUGCUCUUAAUUAGUUGCUAAGCCUGAGAUGACUUCAGAAUAAUUAGUUCUUGCUUCCAUGAGAUCUAUGAAAGUGUCUGAAACUUCAGAAAGAAAAGUUACUUUAAUUGAAAGAUCCUAACCCUAGGGGCAGCUCUAAAUCUAUGAUACUAUGUGUUUCAUUUUUGACUGUAUUCUAAUG
Molecule: long non-coding RNA, 409 nt
Filed under: Monodelphis domestica (gray short-tailed opossum)
Lineage: Eukaryota; Metazoa; Chordata; Mammalia; Didelphimorphia; Didelphidae
Description: lncRNA (ENSMODG00000037258.1)
Source: RNAcentral